This 531-nucleotide long non-coding RNA is filed under the name Trifolium pratense (red clover). Its description in RNAcentral is "long non-coding RNA (TPRA_LNC011101)". The record is from RNAcentral. Lineage: Eukaryota; Viridiplantae; Streptophyta; Magnoliopsida; Fabales; Fabaceae.
UAGUCUUUUGUUUGGAUAAGACAUGUCAACAUGAAUGAAAGGGUAUCACGUGGUGUAUAGAAAGGUUCACCGAAAAGAGAAGCUUAAAUCUGGCUUUGAGACAUGCUCAUUCCUUAUUUCUCAAUAUAAUAUUACAGUAAUAAUAACUAUAUUUGUUCCACAAUUUCUCCAGUGCGGUCGGUUUCGGCCAUCGAUAGCCAGUAAAUUUCAAAACCGCCACCGACCAUGGCCAACUGCUUGUAACCACAAUUUCUUAUCAGGCAACCUGAAGCCCAAUAUAACCCGCCCGAGUCUCGGUCGGCCUGUGCAGUUUUAACGGGUCUCGGUCGGUCUGAACAUUCUUGCUCAGCCCUAAAACCAGGUGAGCAGAUGAAAAAAUAAUGGCUCAAUCCUCAAAGUGAGUAUGAAGACUCAUUGCGAGUUUUGCGCACAGAAAGAAUUUAAUGGGGCGGCAAAGUAUUCUAUUAUGUUUUCCUCAGUUCCACUCUUUUAACAAUGUGUACUAAUAACAUGUUUCAAAAAGCACUAUAA